GUGAUCCUGGAGACCCGGGAUCAAGUCCCAUGUCGGGCUCCCUGCAUGGAGUAUGCUUCUCCCUCUGCCUGUGUCUCUGCCUCUCCCUCUCUCUCUCUCUCUCUCUCUCUCUCUCUCUCUGUCUGUCAUGAAUAAAUAAACAAAAUCUUUAAAAAAAAAUAAAUUCCCCUUCCCAAAAGAUAAACUGUCAAGUUCAUUAGACUGGACAUUGCUAGGACUUCAUCAAUAGUAUCUUCACUGGCCUUCUCCAUUGCACAGGUGUGUCUAUCUCAUUGAUUGGUUGUCCAUCAAAUUUGAAUCUAAUCUGUCUCAUUGACAGGUUUUGUCUCUCACAAUAUGCGUUCAUCAGUUUGUUGAGAGGUGUUUGUCAUUUCUUUUGAGCUGAAUCACAGUUCUAUUAUAUUAUAGAAUUAUAACACAAAAAUGUUAAUUGGAAGUGACCUUUCAGUCAUUUUUUCUAACCUCCUACCUGGUAGAGAAUUCUCCUCUACAGUAUCCACAUCUAGAGGUCAUUCAGUAGUAGAUCCUUAGAUACUUCUGAUAACAGAGAGCUCACUAACUUGUGAAAUAGGCUAUUUCAAUUAUAUUCAGCUCUAUUUCUUAGUAAAUUCUUCUUUAUAUUGAACCAGGACUCCUUGAAAUUUUCAUUUCAGCCUAGGUGCCUAUUCUGAUGAUCCCAGAAUAAGAAUAGGCUUACUGUUUUUUCCAGAUGGCCUGCUGCUUUGGAAUUAAUAUAGCAGUUCUUUGUCUUCUGAUCCUAUAUCCAGAUUUCCCUUGGAAAACCCUUAGGUGCAACCAUUUCCCCCUUAGGCCUGGAUCCCUGAGGUUUGUUCCCUGAUAUCCCAAGACAAUUUGGUACCAAGAGAAAACACUGGAGAUAGAGUGCUGAGUGAAGAAAAAGUAGAAGGGCAAAGACUAGCCUCUCUUAGCACGUGGUGUUCCCUUACUCUGGGAUGCUGGACCUUUUUGGUAGCAGGAUCUGAGCGCAGAGGACAGGACAAUUCCUGGUGGCUUAUAGCACGACCCAGUGUGCUUGCUGGAGAUCUCAGAUGCACCCAAAUUGGAGCUGGGAGAGUCUGGAGACGGAACCACCUAGCCAAGCCAAGAACAGUUAGUACUUCUGCUACAAGUUCAGGCUUUGCACAAACUGAUGGGAACCAAAAAAAGUGA
RNAcentral lists this long non-coding RNA (1170 nucleotides) under Vulpes vulpes (red fox). RNAcentral's name for it is "lncRNA (ENSVVUG00000013924.1)". Lineage: Eukaryota; Metazoa; Chordata; Mammalia; Carnivora; Canidae. The record is from RNAcentral.